GGGGGCGUGGUGUAGCCUGGUCUAUCAUCGCGGGCUCCAGAGGCCAUGAGGACAGGCGGGUUUGCUGACCUCGGGGCGUGAUGAACCUUUGGAGCCCCGAGGGCCGGAGAAACCCGCGGACCGGGGUUCAAAUCCCCGCGCCCCCACCA
Molecule: transfer RNA, 149 nt
Filed under: Pyrococcus abyssi GE5
Lineage: Archaea; Methanobacteriati; Methanobacteriota; Thermococci; Thermococcales; Thermococcaceae
Description: tRNA Trp CCA
Rfam family: Small nucleolar RNA sR40 (bases 42-102)
Source: RNAcentral